AUGACGAUCCGAAAGGUGUACUAAUACCGCAUAAGACCACGGGAUCACAUGGUUCUGAGGUAAAAGAUUUAUCGGUUUGGGGUGGGCUCGCGUCCGAUUAGGUAGUUGGUGAGGUAACGGCCCACCAAGCCGACGAUCGGUAGCCGACCUGAGAGGGUGAUCGGCCACAUUGGGACUGAGACACGGCCCAAACUCCUACGGGAGGCAGCAGUGGGGAAUAUUGGGCAAUGGAGGAAACUCUGACCCAGCAACGCCGCGUGGAGGAAGAAGGUUUUCGGAUCGUAAACUCCUGUCCUUGGAGACGAGUAGAAGACGGUAUCCAAGGAGGAAGCCCCGGCUAACUACGUGCCAGCAGCCGCGGUAAUACGUAGGGGGCAAGCGUUGUCCGGAAUAAUUGGGCGUAAAGGGCGCGUAGGCGGCUCGGUAAGUCUGGAGUGAAAGUCCUGCUUUUAAGGUGGGAAUUGCUUUGGAUACUGUCGGGCUUGAGUGCAGGAGAGGUUAGUGGAAUUCCCAGUGUAGCGGUGAAAUGCGUAGAGAUUGGGAGGAACACCAGUGGCGAAGGCGACUAACUGGACUGUAACUGACGCUGAGGCGCGAAAGUGUGGGGAGC
Molecule: ribosomal RNA, 610 nt
Filed under: uncultured bacterium
Lineage: Bacteria
Description: bacterial SSU rRNA
Rfam family: Bacterial small subunit ribosomal RNA
Source: RNAcentral